RNAcentral lists this ribosomal RNA (850 nucleotides) under Thermococcus sp. Tc85_13. RNAcentral describes it as "bacterial SSU rRNA". It matches the Rfam family "Archaeal small subunit ribosomal RNA", at positions 42 to 880 of the family's 1478-position model. The record is from RNAcentral. Lineage: Archaea; Methanobacteriati; Methanobacteriota; Thermococci; Thermococcales; Thermococcaceae.
GACUAAGCCAUGCGAGUCAUGGGGGUGUCCCUUCUGGGACACCACCGGCGGACGGCUCAGUAACACGUCGGUAACCUACCCUCGGGAGGGGGAUAACCCCGGGAAACUGGGGCUAAUCCCCCAUAGGUGUGGGGUACUGGAAGGUCCCCACACCGAAAGGGGCCUCGUGCCCGCCCGAGGAUGGGCCGGCGGCCGAUUAGGUAGUUGGUGGGGUAACGGCCCACCAAGCCGAAGAUCGGUACGGGCCAUGAGAGUGGGAGCCCGGAGAUGGACACUGAGACACGGGUCCAGGCCCUACGGGGCGCAGCAGGCGCGAAACCUCCGCAAUGCGGGAAACCGCGACGGGGGGACCCCCAGUGCCGUGGCAACGCCACGGCUUUUCCGGAGUGUAAAAAGCUCCGGGAAUAAGGGCUGGGCAAGGCCGGUGGCAGCCGCCGCGGUAAUACCGGCGGCCCGAGUGGUGGCCGCUAUUAUUGGGCCUAAAGCGUCCGUAGCCGGGCCCGUAAGUCCCUGGCGAAAUCCCACGGCUCAACCGUGGGGCUUGCUGGGGAUACUGCGGGCCUUGGGACCGGGAGAGGCGGGGGGUACCCCUGGGGUAGGGGUGAAAUCCUAUAAUCCCAGGGGGACCGCCAGUGGCGAAGGCGCCCCGCUGGAACGGGUCCGACGGUGAGGGACGAAGGCCAGGGGAGCGAACCGGAUUAGAUACCCGGGUAGUCCUGGCUGUAAAGGAUGCGGGCUAGGUGUCGGGCGAGCUCCGAGCUCGCCCGGUGCCGUAGGGAAGCCGUUAAGCCCGCCGCCUGGGGAGUACGGCCGCAAGGCUGAAACUUAAAGGAAUUGGCGGGGGAGAUAC